GCGCACGUGGCGGAAUUGGUAGACGCGCCAGGUUGAGGGCCUGGUGGCCAUUGCGGCCGUGGAGGUUCGAUUCCUCUCGUGCGCA
Fulvivirga imtechensis AK7 is the source of this 85-nucleotide transfer RNA. It matches the Rfam family "tRNA". From Rfam's summary of the family: Transfer RNA (tRNA) molecules are approximately 80 nucleotides in length. The record is from Rfam. Lineage: Bacteria; Pseudomonadati; Bacteroidota; Cytophagia; Cytophagales; Fulvivirgaceae.